This 938-nucleotide ribosomal RNA is filed under the name Paradoxophyla palmata (web-foot frog). Its description in RNAcentral is "12S ribosomal RNA". It matches the Rfam family "Bacterial small subunit ribosomal RNA". Lineage: Eukaryota; Metazoa; Chordata; Amphibia; Anura; Microhylidae. The record is from RNAcentral.
UAAAGGUUUGGUCCUGACCUUAUUAUCUACUGUUACUUAACUUACACAUGCAAGUAUCCGCACACCCGUGAGAACGCCCUUUAUUCUUCUUACAGGAUUAGGAGCCGGUAUCAGGCACAGAAUUCUUGCCCAUAACACCUAGCCACGCCACACCCUCAAGGGUACUCAGCAGUGAUAAACAUUGUUAAUAAGCGCCAGCUUGACUCAGUUAAAGUAAACAGAGCCGGCCAAUCCGGUGCCAGCCGCCGCGGCUACACCGUCGGGCCCAAGUUGAUAAACAUCGGCGUUAAGAGUGAUUAAAGUUCCAACCUACUAGAAUUAAAUUUUAACCAAGUCGUGACACACUUGUUCUUAAGAAACCCAAAAACGAAAGUUAUUCUAAAAAUAGCCACUUGAAUCCACGAUAGCUAAGAAACAAACUGGGAUUAGGUACUCCACUAUGCUUAGCUGUAAAAUAUCCACUUACACCUGAACCGCCUGGGAAUUACGAGCUCAAGCUUAAAACCCAAAGGACUUGACGGUGUCCCACCCACCUAGAGGAGCCUGUUCUAUAAUCGAUUCCCCCCGAUUUACCUCACCACUUUUUGCCUAUCCAGCCUGUAUACCUCCGUCGUAAGCUUACCAUAUGAACGACUCUUAGUGAGCCAUAAGAUUAUUACAUCAACACGUCAGGUCAAGGUGCAGCCCACAAAGUGGAAAGAAAUGGGCUACAAUUUCUAACCUAGAACACACGAAAGACUACAUGAAACACAGCCAUGAAGGUGGAUUUAGUAGUAAAAAGAAAAUAGAGCGUUCUUUUUAACCAGGCGCUGGGACGCGUACACACCGCCCGUCACCCUCUUCAAACGCCAACAAAAGUUUUUAACACAACUAAGCACAAUAGAAGAGGUAAGUCGUAACACGGUAAGCGUACUGGAAAGUGCGCUUGGACUAACAAA